UACAGGCUUAACACAUGCAAGUCGAGGGGCAGCAUUUUAGUUUGCUUGCAAACUGAAGAUGGCGACCGGCGCACGGGUGAGUAACACGUAUCCAACCUGCCGAUAACUCCGGAAUAGCCUUUCGAAAGAAAGAUUAAUACCGGAUAGCAUACGAAUAUCGCAUGAUAUUUUUAUUAAAGAAUUUCGGUUAUCGAUGGGGAUGCGUUCCAUUAGUUUGUUGGCGGGGUAACGGCCCACCAAGACUACGAUGGAUAGGGGUUCUGAGAGGAAGGUCCCCCACAUUGGAACUGAGACACGGUCCAAACUCCUACGGGAGGCAGCAGUGAGGAAUAUUGGUCAAUGGGCGAGAGCCUGAACCAGCCAAGUAGCGUGAAGGAUGAAGGCUCUAUGGGUCGUAAACUUCUUUUAUAUGGGAAUAAAGUUUUCCACGUGUGGAAUUUUGUAUGUACCAUAUGAAUAAGGAUCGGCUAACUCCGUGCCAGCAGCCGCGGUAAUACGGAGGAUCCGAGCGUUAUCCGGAUUUAUUGGGUUUAAAGGGAGCGUAGGUGGAUUGUUAAAGUCAGUUGUGAAAGUUUGCGGCUCAACCGUAAAAUUGCAGUUGAAACUGGCAGUCUUGAGUACAGUAGAGGUGGGCGGAAUUCGUGGUGUAGCGGUGAAAUGCUUAGAUAUCACGAAGAACUCCGAUUGCGAAGGCAGCUCACUAGACUGUCACUGACACUGAUGCUCG
RNAcentral lists this ribosomal RNA (727 nucleotides) under uncultured Bacteroidales bacterium. RNAcentral describes it as "bacterial SSU rRNA". It matches the Rfam family "Bacterial small subunit ribosomal RNA", at positions 41 to 755 of the family's 1533-position model. The record is from RNAcentral. Lineage: Bacteria; Pseudomonadati; Bacteroidota; Bacteroidia; Bacteroidales.